Molecule: long non-coding RNA, 178 nt
Organism: Chelonia mydas (Green sea turtle)
Lineage: Eukaryota; Metazoa; Chordata; Testudines; Cheloniidae
Exons: 3
Source: RefSeq, a predicted model, not a curated record
AGCCGGCAGGCCAGGGAGGGGACUUACCGGCUCUACCAACUGCUGCUCCAACAGAGGGGCCUGACCAUACAUGAGGCGGAAGAUCUCUGUUGCUAUGACUGGCACCAGGACAGCAGGCUCUUGGGCUACAAGAAUACAGCCAGAGUGGGGGAGGUCUUUGGAAAAUUCUUCUCCGUCG